AGACGUCGUAACUAAACUCGCUUUGUAAACGAAACUGAUCUCUUGCCGUGUUUAGGUGAAUCAGUUCACAGUUCUCUCUACUCCUUGUUAUUAGCGUAGGAACCCUUUUGGAUUCUGCAAACGAACAUAGGAAGAAAUGUAUCCAUCGCCAUUUUGUGGUAAUAGAGGCUCUACGGAGGGACCCUCACCAUUUUCAUGGAUGGCACGAUUCCAGCUGGGAGAGUUAAAGGAGAAUAAUAUAAAACUAUAUUACGUACAAUUGAGGUUUGACCCCAUCAGGUAAGGUGACCGUGUUCCCUCUCCGUACGUGCUCCACAACUUCAUUAUUACUCAUCCCCUGAAAAGUUGGUUUUGUGAAAAUAAACUGUAUAUGUAUGAGGCUAUUAGUAUAAUAUUACACAAUUUUCAGUGUCACUGAAAUCCAUUUUGACUGUUAAUCAUACUGAUGUACACAACAAUAUAUAAACCAAAAUUACCCAAUAAAAAAAUAGACCAAAAUUACCUGAUAAAAAAAUAGGACUAUCAGAAAUGGUAAGAUGCAUAUUUUCUACUUGAAUUUCAUAUUACAAUUAUGGGAGUGUAAUCCAUUACUUUUUUUCUCCUCCACUGCAAUAAGAGCAGACAUACACAAGAAAAUUAAUUUACCUUUGAACUUAAGUGCUGCAUCACACCAUUUGAAGUCUGGGCUAAUUAACUCCUAGUUAAUCAUCACAAUUCUUAGUGCUGUAAUUCAUAUGGUACAUUUUUGUGUCUGUACCAUAUUUUUCUAAAUAAAAUUUAGUUAAUUA
Molecule: long non-coding RNA, 788 nt
Organism: Macrobrachium nipponense
Lineage: Eukaryota; Metazoa; Arthropoda; Malacostraca; Decapoda; Palaemonidae
Exons: 3
Source: RefSeq, a predicted model, not a curated record